Molecule: long non-coding RNA, 1016 nt
Organism: Camelus dromedarius (Arabian camel)
Lineage: Eukaryota; Metazoa; Chordata; Mammalia; Artiodactyla; Camelidae
Exons: 3
Source: RefSeq, a predicted model, not a curated record
AAUCCUGUCCAGCCGGGUUCCAAACAAAGAAAGCUGGUCCUCCCAGAACCUGCAGUCAACCUGUCAAAGUCAGAACAGAGAUGAGAUGCUGGGGAGAGGCCUGAACAAGGGGAGGUGAGGAAGAGAGGAGAGAGUAGGAAAAGAAAGGGAUGUGAAAGGGGUGCUGAGGGACCAGAGAAGGCACCUGUUUCUGAAAAGCCUGAAGAGGCUGGUUUGGGCGAAGCUGACUCCCCUACCUAGCCAACGGUCCCUUCCCUUCUUCCCCAAGGGUGAGAGUCCCAAUGAGACUGAGGGUCUGUGGCGAGUAAUGAUUAACCCUCUUCUCAGCCAGGCCCUGAGCCCUCAGCCUGACCUGGCUGGUGGGGGGAAAGAGUGCCAGCGGGCCUCGGACGUCCCCACCGCUACUCUCCACCAACAGGGCGACGAAGGGGGCUGCGGAGAAAAGGGACAGGCGGUAGCAAGGGGCAGCCGAAAGGGAACGGAGUGCAGGGCAGGGGGAGAGCAACUUCAGAUACCGGGCAGACAAGGCGAAAUAAAAUAGCCACCGCCAAUGUACAGGGAAAGGAAGGGGCCAACCGUGGGCGAGGGCGCGCGGCUCCGCGGAGCUGAGGAAUAGUUGGAGGGGGGCGGGAGAGCCCCGGUAGGCUGAGUUUUCCCGGAGUUGCGAGCAAGCAUCAAAUCUACUCUCUCGGAUCCGUCCGCGGCGCGCCCGCCCUCCCUGCCUCCUCUCCCAGCUGCUGCGCGGAUGUGAGGAGCAGGCUGAGAACGCGCCAGAGCCGGGAGCGGAAAAAAACCAAGUGAGUGCACGAGAGAUACAAAUGGAUCGUUUGGUGGAGAAAUCCGUCUUCGUCACCGCCGCCAGGCUGGGAUUAAUGCGAUUGAAGGCUCCUCCAGGCUCCGCCAGGAAGACGGGCUCAGGAAAGCAAGAGAAAUUGCUGACCACCAGCAGAUCUGAACAUAUCUACAGCUUGGUGUGUUAUAUGGGCCUGUCUGCAGAUUUGUGUGGCUGUGUCUAC